Long non-coding RNA from Myxocyprinus asiaticus (Chinese sucker), 1111 nucleotides. RefSeq lists it as uncharacterized. The record is from RefSeq and is a predicted model, not a curated record. The transcript has 2 exons. NCBI's taxonomy places the organism in Eukaryota, Metazoa, Chordata, Actinopteri, Cypriniformes, Catostomidae.
UUGCUUGACUACUGCCCUUUAUGGGAACAUGUUUACACCCAUGUCAGAGGCUUCGUAGCACCCAAGGACGCACAGGAGGUGACGAUGAUAAGCUGACACUACUGGAGCUGACUCACUCCAACGGAUCCACCGUAUCUGAACUACCAGACUUGUUUAUACUAACAGCCCAAACCAGAUUCCAGAUCAGCUGAGGGUUCAGUGUUUGUCCUGACAUUACUGGUCAUGAGUAACUAUGGUCUUAUCCUGGAUCAGAAUCUCUGCUGGAACACAGUCAGCUUACUAGGAGGAAACUCUUAAAUAGUAUCUGUGACAGGCGGCUGCGGCUCCAGGCCGGAGGAAUGACCAAACAGGAUGUGGGGGCAAUUUACACAUACACAGGCAGUUCGGCCCCUUGACAUGGAUUAUUCCAAUUUAAGAGAGGCAGCAUGUACGAUUGCUUGAGCAGUUCACUUUUCAGUUGAUAACCAGAGACAAAGACAGAACAGAGUGAAAAGAAAUGGAAAAGAAGUGGAGGUCUGGGAUUGGGACAUGUUAAAGCCAGAUUGGCACCUGUAUUACUUUUAGUGUUACACUGAUAUAUAAGCAAUCAUGGCGAUAUUUUGAGAUUACUGGCUUCGGUAAUAACAGUGUCGGUUUUUGACUGUGAUGUCAAUAGAUAAUGCACAUUUUUCAGUUUUCUAAUAUUUGUUAAUUAAUUUUGAGCAUCUAUUGUGUGAAAUAAGUGCUGCUCCUAUGGCUUUAAAUGAAGUGAAUUCAGAAAACCAAUAAUUAAAUUUAACUUGAUGUUUUAUAAAAAGAUUUAAUGUGAAAGUAGUCAGUUUUGACAAACUAUUUUACAACAACAAUGUACUUAAGGGUAUAGAGUAGGGGACCAUUUAGUCAUCAGUGGAUUCCAUCUGGCUUACACCUUCAACAUGUCUGCCAAACUUUUCUUAACAAAGAUAAAACAAGAGGAUAUUCACCGUCCAAACACAAUUAGCAUUUUCUUAGACAUUUUACCUCUCUUAACCAUCACUAUUACUUUUGGUCAUACUUAGAGUUUAGAAUUUGAAUAUAACCAUAACCUUACGAUAUACUUGUAUUGAAGAGGAAAAUAAAAAAUUAUGACUGA